This 838-nucleotide long non-coding RNA is filed under the name Nicotiana tabacum (common tobacco). RNAcentral describes it as "long non-coding RNA (NTAB_LNC007340)". Lineage: Eukaryota; Viridiplantae; Streptophyta; Magnoliopsida; Solanales; Solanaceae. The record is from RNAcentral.
UUUGUGCUGAUUCUAGCAAAACUGGUAAGCACAUACUAGCAAAUCUUGGCUUUUUGGGCUAUUUUUGUUCUGCAUUUCUUGUACUUCUUUUUCCCCAGCUACUGGAAACAGGAUACUACAACUCAUUUUCUUGAUGCUCCUCACGUUAUUAUGGUGGCUUUAUUUCUGCUUUGUUGGUUUCUGUGUUUCUUUUCCCCUCCCCCCCCCCCCCCACCACACACACUUCUGCAUGUGGGUUUUUUGAUUUUUUUCGUUUAAACUUCUGUAAAAAGUAGUUCUUGAACAAGUUUUGGGAUGAUAUUUUUGUAGGUAUUUUUCCUUUUGCUUUGAUAUUAGUCUAUUUGAAGUAAAUUUCUUGUGUUUCUACAUAGGGGGUUUCAUGUAAAUAGCAAGUCUUGGGUUUUGUUGGGUGUUUACAAAGAGAGUGGCCUUUGGGUUGUGUCUUUCAAAUGCAUAGUUAAACAUAACGAGAGUUCUCUGAAUUUUUUCACAUUUUUUUACUGGCUAGAUUUCUGCUGUCUGAGUUGAUUCUUUUUGCUUCCGCAGAUAUUAUUCGUAGCUGAUGUUUGAUUUUGUCUUUGAAUAAUAUAUUUUAAUCUAUGCUUCUAUUUAUUCUUGUGAUCUUCUCAUUAAUUUUAUGUUCUUUUUCAGCUUUGCAAAACUAUAAAAGAUAGAUGCUUGCUGUCUCCUGUUUAGGUGGUUCCUUCAACUGAUACCGAGAUGCUGUUUUCCGUUGCAGGUUCUUCAAAUCUCCCACCUUUCAAUUAAAAUAACAAUAAUAUUUUACAAUUUCUGGAUUUACAUGUGAUUUCUGGUUGAAAGUUUGGAUCUUUUCAAG